CUUCUACCUGUUCCUUGCUGGUUUCGUCUGCCUGUGCUGAUUGACCGAUGAAAUCCAUAGGUUCAUCCAUCCUGCUAGAGCAGGAGACUUGCCAUCUGACACCUGCAAGAAUAAUGCACUGUCAAAUGUCACCAUAACCUGAUGCACCCUGCUCAACCCUGAUACACCUACCUACAGAAACAGAAGGCACCCCACAUAACUGCCUGGCUGCAAUUUCAGAGAGGUGAUGUGACAGCACAGCAAGCUUCAAGGACUUCAGUCCCACAGACCUAAACUCCAGAGUUGAUAUUUUUGCAACGGCACAUGAGUACCUCAUCCUUAAAGCUGUGGGGCUUUGUGAGGAAGCAGCGGAUCCUCUCCCAUGGCCAAACCACAGAACGUGGGUUCUCAGUUAAUGAAGAGGUGGAAACAUGGAACAUGGAGGAAGACCACAAUCGUAGCCCAAAGACUUAUCUGCAAUCAUGUGAGAGUGUAUAGUGCACUGACCCACUCUUUAGUAAGUAAAGAGUUGCUAAAUACUGUGCAACUGCACAGAGCAGGUACAGAAUGCACCUGGAUUAGGGAAAAAGGAAAACGACAAGGAAUGAGCAGAUGAUUAAAAGAAAAAUGUGCAGGAGAGGAAACUGAAGAUCUACGGAAGAAAAGAAAAACCAUGUAUGUGAGGCCCUAGAAAAGAUUAAGACAGCUUUGCAGAAAAAGGUGCGAGUACAGCAGUAACUAAAAUGGUAGAUUAUAAAGUCUGAUUAUAAAGUCCAACACAUUGAGAACCCGCUACAAGGAGAAGAGAGUUGAGAAACGUGGAUAGGGAAAUUGAACGAAAAAAGCUAUGAGACAUGUAAUUUGAAACAAAGGAUGUAAUCAGCCAAGGGUAUGUUCCCCAUAGUGACAAAACAGUAAGUAAGAUGAAAGGAAAUGGA
Xiphias gladius (swordfish) is the source of this 917-nucleotide long non-coding RNA. RefSeq lists it as uncharacterized. NCBI's taxonomy places the organism in Eukaryota, Metazoa, Chordata, Actinopteri, Istiophoriformes, Xiphiidae. The record is from RefSeq and is a predicted model, not a curated record. The transcript is spliced from 3 exons.